UAAAGGAAAAAAUGUCUGUGAUCAUCAGGUACAUGUCUCAUCCCUCCAUAAGGUAUCUUGGCCUCAGAGCAUAGUUUGUUUGUUUGUCAAACCUCUGUGUCACCCCAGUGUUUCCAGUGGAAGAUGUGAUUCCAUCCCCAUGAUGGUUAC
Molecule: non-coding RNA, 150 nt
Organism: Vicugna pacos (alpaca)
Lineage: Eukaryota; Metazoa; Chordata; Mammalia; Artiodactyla; Camelidae
Source: RefSeq, a predicted model, not a curated record